RNAcentral lists this transfer RNA (73 nucleotides) under Nothobranchius foerschi. Its description in RNAcentral is "tRNA-Leu". It matches the Rfam family "tRNA". From Rfam's summary of the family: Transfer RNA (tRNA) molecules are approximately 80 nucleotides in length. Their secondary structure includes four short double-helical elements and three loops (D, anti-codon, and T loops). The record is from RNAcentral. Lineage: Eukaryota; Metazoa; Chordata; Actinopteri; Cyprinodontiformes; Nothobranchiidae.
GUUAGGGUGGCAGAACCAAGUAUUGCAAAAGACCUAAACUCUUUAUAUGGAAGUUCAAAUCUUCCCCCUGACU